Molecule: long non-coding RNA, 860 nt
Filed under: Papio anubis (olive baboon)
Lineage: Eukaryota; Metazoa; Chordata; Mammalia; Primates; Cercopithecidae
Description: lncRNA (ENSPANG00000036586.2)
Source: RNAcentral
GUUCCGGCUUCUUGUUUUCCAGAUGCUAUGCGCAGACCACGCAGUGACCCAUUCGUCCUUGCGUGAAAACAGACUAAUGAAUACAGGAGGCCUCAGAGGGCAGCAACCCUGCUAGCCUUGGUCUUGAACUUCCAGCCUCCAGAACAUGAGAGAAUGAAUUUCUUGUGUGAGUCCCCAGUCUGUGGGACAUUGUUAUGGAGCCUGAGCUGAUGUGUGCGACCCCGGAAGCCCUGUCCUCACCCCGAGCAGCACGCGACAGGCUCGGGAGAUGUCCACAGUGGGCCGGCCGUCCUCACAGAGCACCGCGCCUUGGGCAUGAACACUGUGUCCCUGCUCCAUCAGGUCUGCGAGAGACACAGAGCAGCUGGGCUCAGCGUCUCCAGCCUCAUCGCUCACCACCUCUUCCAACCCCGGGCUCUGGUCAGAUUCGUCAUCGUGGCCUAGAUUCAAUCAUGUCCCCUCAGAGAAGCUGCCCCACGCACAGGGCCUCCAGAGCCAGCUGCCUGAAGGCAGGACCCUUCCCGACUGUCCUGUCCAGAGGAUCCCCCACAAAGAUGGCCCCCUGGCAGGUAAGAGGAGCCGGGACAUGCUUAUGGAUGGACACAGAGCCCAGGCAGCACCGGGUGUCCAGGCCUGAGCUGAGGACAUGUGGGGCCCUGGACUGCCAGUCACUUCUCUGGGUCUCCGAUCCCUUCAUCUGGAAACACGGAGUUCUUGGGGAGCUCUGUGAGGCCCCAUGGGACAGAGACGUUGAUGUCAUCAGGCAGCACACGCUGCUGAGCUCUGAGGGUGAGCAGGUGAAUGGUACCUGGGCCAGCCUGUGGGAGAGCCCCAGCAUGGGGCAGUCAACGUGGCCCUGA